UGGGGAAUAUUGCACAAUGGGGGAAACCCUGAUGCAGCAACGCCGCGUGAGUGAAGAAGUAUUUCGGUAUGUAAAGCUCUAUCAGCAGGGAAGAAGAAGGACGGUACCUGACUAAGAAGCCCCGGCUAACUACGUGCCAGCAGCCGCGGUAAUACGUAGGGGGCGAGCGUUAUCCGGAUUUACUGGGUGUAAAGGGAGCGUAGACGGUUUUUCAAGUCUGAAGUGAAAGCCCGCGGCUCAACUGCGGAACGGCUUUGGAAACUGAGGGACUAGAGUGCUGGAGGGGCAGGCGGAAUUCCUGGUGUAGCGGUGAAAUGCGUAGAUAUCAGGAGGAACACCGGUGGCGAAGGCGGCCUGCUGGACAGUAACUGACGUUGAGGCUCGAAAGCGUGGGGAGCAAACAGG
This 405-nucleotide ribosomal RNA is filed under the name uncultured bacterium. Its description in RNAcentral is "bacterial SSU rRNA". It matches the Rfam family "Bacterial small subunit ribosomal RNA", at positions 355 to 776 of the family's 1533-position model. The record is from RNAcentral.